This 424-nucleotide ribosomal RNA is filed under the name uncultured prokaryote. Its description in RNAcentral is "bacterial SSU rRNA". It matches the Rfam family "Bacterial small subunit ribosomal RNA", at positions 355 to 796 of the family's 1533-position model. The record is from RNAcentral.
CGGGGACUAUUCGACAAUGCGGGAAACCGUGAUCCAGCAAUGCCGCGUGAGUGAAGAAGGCCUCAGGGUUGUAAAGCCCUUUUACCAGGGAUGAUAAUGACAGUACCUGGCGAAUAAGCCCCGGCUAACUCCGUGCCAGCAGCCGCGGUAAUACGGAGGGGGCUAGCGUUGUUCGGAAUUACUGGGCGUAAAGCGCGCGUAGGCGGCUUUUCAAGUCAGGGGUGAAAUCCCGGGGCUCAACCCCGGAACUGCCCUUGAAACUGGAUGGCUAGAAUCUUGGAGAGGUGAGUGGAAUUCCGAGUGUAGAGGUGAAAUUCGUAGAUAUUCGGAAGAACACCAGUGGCGAAGGCGACUCACUGGACAAGUAUUGACGCUGAGGUGCGAAAGCGUGGGGAGCAAACAGGAUUAGAUACCCGUGUAGUCC